Podarcis lilfordi (Lilford's wall lizard) is the source of this 67-nucleotide non-coding RNA. Lineage: Eukaryota; Metazoa; Chordata; Lepidosauria; Squamata; Lacertidae. The record is from the annotation of a GenBank genome assembly.
GCUAAGAUAGCUCAGUCGGCAGAGCAUGAGAUUCUUAAUUUCAGGGUUUUGAGCCCCAUGUUGAGCG